RNAcentral lists this ribosomal RNA (256 nucleotides) under uncultured bacterium. Its description in RNAcentral is "partial 16S ribosomal RNA". It matches the Rfam family "Bacterial small subunit ribosomal RNA", at positions 15 to 263 of the family's 1533-position model. The record is from RNAcentral.
GAUCAUGGCUCAGGAUGAACGCUGGCGGCGUGCCUAACACAUGCAAGUCGAGCGGAGACAGUGAGUAGCUUGCUACGAGCUGUUUUAGCGGCGGACGGGUGAGUAACGCGUGAGCAACCUUUCCCAGACAGGGGAAUAACACACCGAAAGGUGUACUAAUACCGCAUAAGACCACGGGAUCACAUGGUUCUGGGGUAAAAGAAUUAUCGGUUUGGGGUGGGCUCGCGUCCGAUUAGGUAGUUGGUGAGGUAACCGG